UGUGCUAAACAUUCUGCUGGAAGGAAGACUCAUUGUCCGCUGCUGAUGUUGUCUCCCAUGAGGGGGAGCUCCAUGAGCUGUAACCCUCCUGGAUACGUCCACCUCCUCGCUUACCUUCCCUGGGAAGAGUGAUUUAUCUCAUUGCUGGAAAGGCAAAGAAAAGAAGGUGAAGGAAGGCCCAGUGGAUAAUGGAACUCCGAGAGAAUCCUGGCUCGGAAAGGCAAUCAAUGAGUUGUCUCCAGUUCGUACCCUUCAAGUCACCCUUCAACCCACGGCAGUUGACACCUGCAGUGCUCCAACAGGACAUCAUCUCUUAUGGAUGUUACAGGAUGUUACAGGUCAUAAAAUAGGUUAUCAACUGAGUAACAGAC
Orcinus orca (killer whale) is the source of this 371-nucleotide long non-coding RNA. RefSeq lists it as uncharacterized. The transcript is spliced from 4 exons. The record is from RefSeq and is a predicted model, not a curated record. Lineage: Eukaryota; Metazoa; Chordata; Mammalia; Artiodactyla; Delphinidae.